Non-coding RNA from Mycena crocata, 98 nucleotides. The record is from the annotation of a GenBank genome assembly. Lineage: Eukaryota; Fungi; Basidiomycota; Agaricomycetes; Agaricales; Mycenaceae.
CACCUGGUAGCACAACGGCUAGUGCGUCUGCGUUGAAUAUCUCGUCCACAACAAGUAUUUUUAUGCAGAAGAUCCUCGUUCAAUUCGGGGUCGGGUGA